GCGACGCGCGUCUGUGCAUGGGCGUGACGCGCGUGCGUGGGCGUAACGCGCGUGCGUACGUGGGAAGGUCGUGCAUGCGUGCGUGGUCAUGACGUGCGUGUGCGUGCGUGCGUGUGGAGUCCCUUUCUGGAAUGAUUGCUUGAGUACAGGGUGUGCCGGGUCAGAGGACUCCUCCAGCAUUUGUCCUUUGUGACCUGCUUACUGCGCUCUCAGUACCUCUGUGAGUAUGCUGCCUGGACCCCAAUCCCACCGUUCAGAUUCCAGCCUCGGUCGGAGGAUUUGCUUCUGUGCUGCGGGCGAGCUGGGGCUGUUGGGAAUGAACAGGGCGACAUGGCAGACAGACUCUGCAGGACUGUUCCACAGGGACUCUGUCAUCCUGACAUGCCACCGAUCACAAUGCUGGUUCCCUCCAUUGAAAGCAUAACACUGAUUGGACCUGGUGAGAUGGAAAUGACAGCUGCCUAGAAACCCUGUGAAGAUAACAUGAGUGUGAGAGAGUGACAGGUAAACUCUGCCCCUGUCUUCCCCUGGGUUCUGAGGCAGAAGUUUUCGGUGCUUCUCUGGCAUUAGGGAGUAUAGUCCCAGGGAGAGGAAGUGAAGGAAAGGGGAGUGAGGAGGGGAAGGAGGAGGGGCCAAUAAGAUGCAUUAAAUGAUAGAUGUCUGUGUUGUGAGACCAUCUUUUUCUUUUUUUUUUUUUAAUGUCUAUUUAUUUUUGAGAGACAGAGAGAGACAGAGCCCGAGCAGGGGAGGGGCAGGGAGAGGGAGAUCAAAUCCGAAGCAGGCUCCAGGUUCUGAGCUGUCAGCACAGAGCCUGACGUGGGGCUCGAACCCAUGAACCGUGAGAUCAUGACCUGAGCCAAAGUCGGUCUCUCAACCGACUGAGCCACCCAGGUGCCCCUGAGACAAUCUUCUGAGAUGCCUUAUAAAUGACUUUCUCGGGACAGUGUAUCUGGGAGAGGUAGGGAGAAACGUGUUUGUUGGCUUCCUCUGGCAACAUGUUUGCUUCUCAGGGUGUUAUUUCCACAUCACUUGCAGGCUGCUUAUGCUGAGUGGAUCACACCAUGUGCCAGCACCAAUAGGGAGCCCUGGGGCAGGAAGUGAGAGGUGCUCCGCAUGGGCAUGGGGCACUGGACAGGGACCCUGGAUGCCUAAGUGUUCCCACCAAGUGGGAAAGGGAGCUGACAUUUGUAUUCACCAGUUCCUGCUGGUCACUGGUUAAGAUUUUCUUGGUCGGCGUUAAUUCCCCAGCACUUCAGGUCUGUGUGGGUAGGGCGGGCUCCAGUGGCCAGAGAAAGCACUCAGGUAAAGGGAAGCAGGUGCUGGCAGUGGUGGCCCUUGCCUGUAGUGCACCUGGAUGACAAAGGCAAGAGGGGACAGGGACCCGGCGCUGACAGUGGCCCCAAAGAGGGUCUGACACACUCUCCCUCAUCGUCCUCUUCCUUUUGGGACUGUCAGAUUUUCAAAUUCAUCUCUUUCUCUUAUGCAGCCCUUGGCUCCCCUUUGCACAUCCAAACACAUCAAGGUGUUCAUCAGAACAAGGUUCCUCCCUGGAAAGCAUUGGUGGGCUUAAACUGUCAUUGUUUUCUCUUGAUUACCCGAAAGGCAGCCCUCUUUAGUUACUCUAGUAAAUUCUUUUCUAGCCAGCUAGCUAAGUUUAUUCCUCUUUUUCUGCUCGUGGAAUCAGAUGAGGAUGCAAGCUUUGGGUGCCUGUGUGUGUUCUGUCACACAGCUCCACAAGGAAGCUGCUCACUGAAGAGACAGGUUCAGGAAGACGUGUGCUAUGUGCUUGGUAACUUCUUCCCAAACCAAAAUUUGGGAUGCUUCUCACUGAUUUUUGUACCCCUUCCAGCUGCUGGAGACAGUCUGGAGAAUGUUUUCGGAGACUGUGUUUUCUAGGACACUUGGGUGGAUUAUGGGAAAAUGGAACAGCACGGUCAUUUAGCUGAGUCCUGGAAGAGCCGGGACAUAAGAUCCCCACGUCUCCACACGUCCUAAUCUCUCAGAUUGUACUGAAGCUGUGGUAAACAAUUUAAGACCUGCUUGGGUAUGACAUGAGGCUUCCUCUUGGCUAUUUCUACCACUUCAUAUUGAAUGGAAGGAAAUUGCUGAAACCCUCAAAACACAGUCUGGCAGGAGGCAAAAUGCCUUGCUUGGCAUCCUGCCCCCACCCCUCCCACACCUGCAGCUGGGACCAUUUGGAUGCCCUGUACCCUCCCUGUCUUCCUUCAGCCUGAGCCCACAGUUCCCAGCUCUGGGCCUAACUCCAAAACGAGAGCCCUACUGCCUACGAACAUGGGCCGCCUUUCCAGGUGAAGUAGAUACAAAAUGAACAAUAUUUGGGGAGCCUGGGUGGCUCAGACGGUUGAGCAUCCGUCUUCAGCUCAGGUCAUGAUCUCUUGGUUCGUGAGUUUGAGCCCCUCAUUAGGCUCUAUGCUGGCAGCUUAGAUCCUGGAGCCUGCUUUGGGUUCUGUGUCUCCCUCUCUCUCUCUCUGAC
Molecule: long non-coding RNA, 2494 nt
Organism: Acinonyx jubatus (cheetah)
Lineage: Eukaryota; Metazoa; Chordata; Mammalia; Carnivora; Felidae
Exons: 4
Source: RefSeq, a predicted model, not a curated record